RNAcentral lists this ribosomal RNA (623 nucleotides) under Bacillus sp. MYb212. RNAcentral's name for it is "bacterial SSU rRNA". It matches the Rfam family "Bacterial small subunit ribosomal RNA", at positions 41 to 647 of the family's 1533-position model. The record is from RNAcentral. Lineage: Bacteria; Bacillati; Bacillota; Bacilli; Caryophanales; Bacillaceae.
CGCGUGCCUAUACAUGCAGUCGAGCGAAUGGAUAAGAGCUUGCUCUUAUGAAGUUAGCGGCGGACGGGUGAGUAACACGUGGGUAACCUGCCCAUAAGACUGGGAUAACUCCGGGAAACCGGGGCUAAUACCGGAUAACAUUUUGAACCGCAUGGUUCGAAAUUGAAAGGCGGCUUCGGCUGUCACUUAUGGAUGGACCCGCGUCGCAUUAGCUAGUUGGUGAGGUAACGGCUCACCAAGGCAACGAUGCGUAGCCGACCUGAGAGGGUGAUCGGCCACACUGGGACUGAGACACGGCCCAGACUCCUACGGGAGGCAGCAGUAGGGAAUCUUCCGCAAUGGACGAAAGUCUGACGGAGCAACGCCGCGUGAGUGAUGAAGGCUUUCGGGUCGUAAAACUCUGUUGUUAGGGAAGAACAAGUGCUAGUUGAAUAAGCUGGCACCUUGACGGUACCUAACCAGAAAGCCACGGCUAACUACGUGCCAGCAGCCGCGGUAAUACGUAGGUGGCAAGCGUUAUCCGGAAUUAUUGGGCGUAAAGCGCGCGCAGGUGGUUUCUUAAGUCUGAUGUGAAAGCCCACGGCUCAACCGUGGAGGGUCAUUGGAAACUGGGAGACUUGAGU